This 321-nucleotide small RNA is filed under the name Histoplasma capsulatum. RNAcentral describes it as "hypothetical RNA". RNAcentral also lists the same sequence under 1 other name. Lineage: Eukaryota; Fungi; Ascomycota; Eurotiomycetes; Onygenales; Ajellomycetaceae. The record is from RNAcentral.
CCUGAAAAGUAGUAGCAAAACAUCACAAAAAUAAUCAAAAUAUCCACAUAUCUCUAGAAUCAUUCAAAUAUUAUUCAAUUCAUUCAAAUACACAUCUUUAUCAUCAAAUAUGCAUCUUUAUCAUCAAAUCUGUCAAUAUAUCCUCUCAGCUCAGUGAAUUUAUCAUCAAUAAGAUUAUAUAUCUUCUAAAUAAUAAUUAUAUAUCUACUCAAAUUACAUAGAUCAUUGAGUAUUAUCUGAUCACUGUAUAUUAAAUUCAAUAAAAUAUUCACUGCUUUGAAACUGCUAGAAGUUUUUAUUCAAUAUAAAAUAUAAAGUCAA